GUAAACAUUGUGGAACUAACUGGCCUCUGUUUUGCCUCUUCUUACCCAGCACAGAUGGCCAGGAACAUAUCCUGAUCACCCGAGAGGAUGACUUCAACAACAGGCUGAACAACCGCGCCAGUUUCAAGGGCUGCACGGCCUUGCACUAUGCUGUUCUUGCUGAUGACUACCGCACUGUCAAGGAGCUGCUUGAUGGAGGAGCCAACCCCCUGCAGAGGAAUGAAAUGGGACACACACCCUUGGAUUAUGCCCGAGAAGGGGAAGUGAUGAAGCUUCUGAGGACUUCUGAAGCCAAGUACCAAGAGAAGCAGCGGAAGCGUGAGGCCGAGGAGCGGCGCCGCUUCCCCCUGGAGCAGCGACUGAAGGAGCACAUCAUUGGCCAGGAGAGCGCCAUCGCCACAGUGGGUGCUGCGAUCCGGAGGAAGGAGAAUGGCUGGUAUGACGAAGAACACCCUCUGGUCUUCCUCUUCUUGGGAUCAUCUGGAAUAGGAAAAACAGAGCUGGCCAAGCAGACAGCCAAAUAUAUGCACAAAGAUGCUAAAAAGGGCUUCAUCAGGCUGGACAUGUCCGAGUUCCAGGAGCGACACGAGGUGGCCAAGUUUAUCGGGUCCCCACCAGGCUACGUUGGCCAUGAGGAGGGUGGCCAGCUGACCAAGAAGUUGAAGCAGUGCCCCAAUGCUGUGGUGCUCUUUGAUGAAGUAGACAAGGCCCAUCCAGAUGUGCUCACCAUCAUGCUGCAGCUGUUUGAUGAGGGCCGGCUGACAGAUGGAAAAGGGAAGACCAUUGAUUGCAAGGACGCCAUCUUCAUCAUGACCUCCAAUGUGGCCAGCGACGAGAUCGCACAGCACGCGCUGCAGCUGAGGCAGGAAGCUUUGGAGAUGAGCCGUAACCGUAUUGCCGAAAACCUGGGGGAUGUCCAGAUAAGUGACAAGAUCACCAUCUCAAAGAACUUCAAGGAGAAUGUGAUUCGCCCUAUCCUGAA
Molecule: small RNA, 982 nt
Filed under: Pongo abelii (Sumatran orangutan)
Lineage: Eukaryota; Metazoa; Chordata; Mammalia; Primates; Hominidae
Description: processed transcript
Source: RNAcentral